UAAUACGAAGGGAGCUAGCGUUGUUCGGAAUUACUGGGCGUAAAGGGCGCGUAGGCGGCUUGGCAAGUUGGAUGUGAAAGCCCAGGGCUCAACCCUGGAAUUGCAUUCAAGACUGCCUUGCUUGAAUUCGGUAGAGGUUGGUGGAAUUCCCAGUGUAGAGGUGAAAUUCGUAGAGAUUGGGAAGAACACCCGUGGCGAAGGCGGCCAACUGGACCGACAUUGACGCUGAGGCGCGAAAGCGUGGGGAUCAAACAGGAUUAGAUACCCUGGUAGUCCACGCCGUAAACGAUGCAUGCUAGACGUUGGAGGGCUUAGCCCUCUUGUGUCGCAGCUAACGCACUAAGCAUGCCGCCUGGGGAGUACGGCCGCAAGGUUG
Molecule: ribosomal RNA, 376 nt
Filed under: uncultured bacterium
Lineage: Bacteria
Description: bacterial SSU rRNA
Rfam family: Bacterial small subunit ribosomal RNA
Source: RNAcentral